RNAcentral lists this ribosomal RNA (425 nucleotides) under uncultured bacterium. RNAcentral describes it as "partial 16S ribosomal RNA". It matches the Rfam family "Bacterial small subunit ribosomal RNA", at positions 354 to 796 of the family's 1533-position model. The record is from RNAcentral.
GUGGGGAAUCUUGCGCAAUGGGCGAAAGCCUGACGCAGCCAUGCCGCGUGAAUGAUGAAGGUCUUAGGAUUGUAAAAUUCUUUCACCGGGGACGAUAAUGACGGUACCCGGAGAAGAAGCUCCGGCUAACUUCGUGCCAGCAGCCGCGGUAAUACGAAGGGGGCUAGCGUUGCUCGGAAUUACUGGGCGUAAAGGGCGCGUAGGCGGACAGCUUAGUCAGAGGUGAAAGCCCAGGGCUCAACCUUGGAAUUGCCCUUGAUACUGGCUGUCUUGAGUUUGGGAGAGGUGAGUGGAACUCCGAGUGUAGAGGUUAAAUUCGUAGAUAUUCGGAAGAACACCAGUGGCGAAGGCGACUCACUGGCCCAAUACUGACGCUGAGGCGCGAAAGCGUGGGGAGCAAACAGGAUUAGAAACCCGGGUAGUCC